CGAGCUAGACUAAAGGUAUCUGGUAAUUAAUCCUUGGCACCUCCCACCACACGCUCCUGAUUGGGCGCGUGAGACAAGGCUGUGUCUGCGCGCGCUCUUACCAGUCCGGGGAAUUCCAUUUCCUCUACCAACCACCGGCAUAAGCAUUCAGGGGCGUUGCUUUCCUGGCAGUGGCCCGCCCCAGUUCGAGCCGGUGCCUUACUGCGUCUCGCGAGAACGUACGCAUUUUGGGGGCGGAACCCCGUCAGGAAAAGCGCACAAAACUGCUCUUAAGUCAUUGCAGAGCUACCGCUUCGGUUAGCCAGCCACGAAGUUCUCGCGAGAGUCGUCUCCUCGAUACCAAGUGAGGAAACUGGGGGACGCUGUGGGGAGGGGCGUGGGGCUGGAUCGCGCAGCGGCUGCUUCCUUUACCUUCCUCCCAUGGUCUCCUUCCGGUUCUCGAUGCUUCUCUGAGCCUAAGGGUUUCCGCCACUCGUUUACCCUCCCCCCAGCUCAUGAUCCUCCUCCCUCCCCCGCCCUCCUGGUCCAAUCUCCGAUCUGUUUAGUAAGAAGGUGCUGUUCCGAGAAGGAGAAGGAAAAGGGCUUGACACGUAUUCACUCGGCCCCGGACGUGGGAAGCAAGCCGUCUGGCUUCGGCCUCACAUCGGUCCUGUGCUCGGGACGGCGGCGUUGGCGGACUGAUCUGCGGCGGUGAAGAGGCAGGAGGAGGGGGAGGGGCGGAGCGUGGCAGCUGGCAGUAGUUCCGUCAGAGCGGACAUCUUGUGGCUGUGUCGUGCGCGUGAGCCCCGUAGGGCCGGGGAGGCACCAGCUGCCGCGCGGGGAGGAGGCCGAGGCCGCAGCUUGAGGGAGGCCCCGGCCCCUCUGCGCCUGUGUCUGGCAGAGCUGGUGUGAGACGAGACAAUCCUGCCCCGCCGCCGGGAUAAUCAAGAGUUUUGGCCGGACCUUUGAGCAUACACCGAGAGAGUGAGGAGCCAGACGACAAGCACACACUAUGGCGCUGAAACGGAUUAAUAAGGAACUUAGUGAUUUGGCCCGUGACCCUCCAGCACAAUGUUCUGCAGGUCCAGUUGGGGAUGAUAAGUUUUUUUUCUUUUUCUAGUGUUUCAUUGGCAAGCCACAAUUAUGGGACCUAAUGACAGCCCAUAUCAAGGCGGUGUAUUCUUUUUGACAAUUCA
This 1175-nucleotide long non-coding RNA is filed under the name Pan troglodytes (chimpanzee). RNAcentral's name for it is "long non-coding RNA NONPTRT013161". The record is from RNAcentral. Lineage: Eukaryota; Metazoa; Chordata; Mammalia; Primates; Hominidae.